AUGCUCUUUAUCUUCCAGUCUCUUCUUGUCAAUUUGGAAAUCGCAGACAGCCCGGCUCAGGAAAAAGUGGCAACCCAUUCCGAACUUGAAGAUUUCUCAUUGUUUUUACUAAACUUAAAGAACCAGCAGCCGAGAGAGAAGUGCCUCGAAUUGUGUAUGGGCCGUUACCUUUUCGAAGAGAAGACUUAUGCUCUGAGAGAAGAUUUUCUAGCAGCGGAAAUGGAUUCACCUCUGGUGCUGUUUCAAGUUACCGAACUUAUCAAACAGGCUGGUGCACAAGUGCCCUUGACCUUGCCUUCAUAG
Molecule: long non-coding RNA, 303 nt
Filed under: Aotus nancymaae (Ma's night monkey)
Lineage: Eukaryota; Metazoa; Chordata; Mammalia; Primates; Aotidae
Description: lncRNA (ENSANAG00000038663.1)
Source: RNAcentral